CGGGUGAGUAACGCGUGAGGAACCUGCCUCAAAGAGGGGGACAACAGUUGGAAACGACUGCUAAUACCGCAUAAGCCCACGGCUCGGCAUCGAGCAGAGGGAAAAGGAGUGAUCCGCUUUGAGAUGGCCUCGCGUCCAAUUAGCUAGUUGGUGAGGUAACGGCCCACCAAGGCGACGAUCGGUAGCCGGACUGAGAGGUUGAACGGCCACAUUGGGACUGAGACACGGCCCAG
Molecule: ribosomal RNA, 233 nt
Filed under: uncultured bacterium
Lineage: Bacteria
Description: partial 16S ribosomal RNA
Rfam family: Bacterial small subunit ribosomal RNA
Source: RNAcentral